This 473-nucleotide ribosomal RNA is filed under the name uncultured bacterium. RNAcentral's name for it is "bacterial SSU rRNA". It matches the Rfam family "Bacterial small subunit ribosomal RNA", at positions 355 to 825 of the family's 1533-position model. The record is from RNAcentral.
UCGGGAAUUUUGGGCAAUGGGGGAAACCCUGACGCAGCAACGCCGCGUGAGUGACGAAGGCCUUCGGGUCGUAAAGCUCUGUCGGAGGGGAAGAAACUACCAAUGGCUAACAUCCAUAGGUAUUGACGGUACCCUCAAAGGAAGCACCGGCUAACUCCGUGCCAGCAGCCGCGGUAAUACGAAUUGUGCGAACGUUAUUCGGAAUCACUGGGCUUAAAGGGUGCGUAGGCGGCCAUGAAGGUCUGAUGUGAAAUCCCACGGCUCAACCGUGGAAUUGCGUUGGAAACCACAUGGCUUGAGUAGGACAGAGGUGAGCGGAACUGAUGGUGGAGCGGUGAAAUGCGUUGAUAUCAUCAGGAACACCGGUGGCGAAAGCGGCUCACUGGGUCCUAACUGACGCUGAGGCACGAAAGCCAGGGGAGCAAACGGGAUUAGAUACCCUAGUAGUCCCUGAGCGGGCUGGCAAGGCGCAU